ACCAAAUCUAUUAUGAAGCAACAUAACUUUCCAGACCAGGGAACAUCCUCACUUACUGAUCAAGGUCUGAACAACUUUGCUCCUAAAAUCUGCAGCCUAUGAAUGGCCCUUUAGGUGCAGAAAGAAAAGUAUCAUUGGUAUAUAUGAGUGUUGAUCACCCAGGGCUUUUCUCUGUUUCAAUGCGGAUACUGUGGAUGCAUUCAAUUGAUUCUAGAGAAAAUUCAGCUGCAGAUCUAAAUGUUUUCACUAUGAAAAAGUGAAGAAAGAAGAAAUAACUAAAGACUGGCUUGUGCCCAUUGUAUUUUUACUAAAACCAAAUGAAAGAUAUUUUUUAAAAUCCUUCAUUCAUUUACUCUCUUUGACAUUCAUUUACUCUCUUUGAGUUUAACCCAGAGUAAUAAAUGUUAGAAGGAGACAUGUUAGAUGUUGAGGGGAAUAAAACAAGAAGUCAGACCCAUUCAGAUCCAAGGCAGACCCAUUCAGAUCCAAGAAUGACUAGACAGAAAAUAUGGACAUCUGUAGAUAAAUUCUAGAAAAGACCUCAAGUUAAAUGUGAAAAGGACUUAUUUGGAAAGCUGCCAGAAUUGAAUCCUGGAACAGAAAAAAAAGACAGAUAUUAAUGGAAAAACUGAAAAUUCUAGUAAUGUGGCAUUUGGUUAAUGUAUCAGUGUUAGUUCCUAAGUUCUGACAAAUGUACCACAGCAGUGUAAGUAGGGAAAACAAACUGGGUGAACAGUAUGCAGGAACUUUCUAUUAUCUCUCUGCAAGUUUUCUUCAUAUCCAAAAUUAUUACAAGUAAAAUAUAUCUUCUAAAUUAUUCCAAAUAAAGACUCCACUUAAAAAAAUGCUCCAGGAGAAGGCUAUGUGAUCUCUUUUUGUGUUGAUGCUCCAGAGCAUCCUGUUUUGCAAAAAUGAUGCUGAGAGAUCUAUUAGAUCCUUCAGUAAUUGAUCUGGGAAUCAUCCAGGCCUUUCCAUUUUGUUUGAAAAUAAAAUGCACAACCAGUCUUGUAUGAUGUGCAUCAUAAGACUGACAGUUGCAAUGGGGCUGGUGAGAAUUUGGGGUGUUUGUAAGUCCAGGCUUAUUUCUUAGGAACUGGAUACUGAUGCCAUCAUCUUCCAGACAUGCAGGAAUGGUGGCUCUAUGGAAACCCACCUGCUUGAUUCCCAGCAGCAAGGUCAUCUUUAUGUCCUGCUUGAAUUAAAAUGAACUUGGAAAAGCUGCUGAGAUUCCGAAGAUACACUACCCUAUACCGUGUAUAAAUUUCCCCACCACUAAAGAGAGAAGUGCUUUUUUUGUACAAAGAUAUUUUCAAAGUGAGACUACUUAAGCAAACUGUCAAAUAUUGCUCUUCUUGUGGUAAAGAAACCUCCUCAAUGUCAUCUGUUUUUCAUCCAUAUGUGAGAACUCCAGCCUCCAGACAAAUCCUGUGCCAUAUAGAUGUUGGUAGAUGAUUACUGGCAUGGGGUGAUCUGAGGGAAGGGAAAGGCCAGCUUGUCCAGAAAUACCAUCCUGCUAAAGCUGAAAAGGCUUGCAGUUCCCGUUACUCACUCCUUUUGGUUAGGAUGGGUACUAGAAAGCAUCUUUUAAAAUGUUGCUUCAGUGGAGCAAUGUGACAGCAAACAAACCAUCAAUGUCCCAUCAAUUCAGCAGAAUUAAGAAGGACAAAG
Molecule: long non-coding RNA, 1668 nt
Filed under: Marmota monax (woodchuck)
Lineage: Eukaryota; Metazoa; Chordata; Mammalia; Rodentia; Sciuridae
Source: RNAcentral